AUUGAACGCUGGCGGCAGGCCUAACACAUGCAAGUCGAGCGGAUGACGGGAGCCUGCUCCUUGAUUCAGCGGCGGACGGGUGAGUAAUGCCUAGGAAUCUGCCUGGUAGUGGGGGACAACGUUUCGAAAGGAACGCUACUACCGCAUACGUCCUACGGGCGAAAGCAGGGGACCUUCGGGCCUUGCGCUAUCAGAUGAGCCUAGGUCGGAUUAGCUAGUUGGUGGGGUAAUGGCUCACCAAGGCGACGAUCCGUAACUGGUCGGAGAGGAUGAUCAGUCACACUGGAACUGAGACACGGGCCAGACUCCUACGGGAGGCAGCAGUGGGGAAUAUUGGACAAUGGGCGAAGGCCUGAUCCAGCCAUGCCGCGUGUGUGAAGAAGGUCUUCGGAUUGUAAAGCACUUUAAGUUGGGAGGAAGGGCAGUAAGCUAAUACCUUGCUGUUUUGACGUUACCGACAGAAUAAGCACCGGCUAACUCUGUGCCAGCAGCCGCCGUAA
This 500-nucleotide ribosomal RNA is filed under the name uncultured bacterium. Its description in RNAcentral is "partial 16S ribosomal RNA". It matches the Rfam family "Bacterial small subunit ribosomal RNA", at positions 30 to 523 of the family's 1533-position model. The record is from RNAcentral.